GGGUGCGCUCUCCCGUCACAGUUCUCCACUCGAAGUCUUCCAUAGCAAAGAUGAUGUUUGGUCGCGCGCAUGCGCCGCAGAAGGAGUGGGGCAGCAUGUACUUCUACGAGAAGCUGCACCACCUCAUCGACCACACCUCCAACUUUGUUAUCUCAAAGGUGGACUGGUGGCUUCCCUCCGUCGCCGUGGGGAUCGCGCUUAGUCUUUUCGUUCUCGGCGGCCCAGAGGCCCUGCCGCAGGCGGCGUCCAUCGUGCUGCCCUCCGCCACCCCCGCCGUGACCACUCCUCCGUUCGCCACACCGGAUGGGCCGCAGGGCGGUGCGGCUCCGGAUGAUGACGAGGAGUUUUAGUAGCCCUGACCGCAGGGCCUGCUCAAUGAAGCACGAGGGAAAGAAGUGAAACUAGCACAGUACCCCCACACAUACCCUCUCCCUCCAGGCGUCCAUAUGGGGGGGGCGAUGUAUGCUUCUCUGUAUGCGUAUGGGCGUGCGUGCGUGAGUCGGUGAGCAGGACUGCACAAAAUCGCGUGCUGCCGUGCCGCUUCUUUGAGCGGGCGUGCAGUGGCGCAGAGUUCCCUCGCUGUCGCCGUUUUCAUGGCGACUCUCAUUUCUUUUUGUCGUUUCUGUGAUGAACGCCGCGCUGGUGUGGUGCCCUUUGGUAUGCCGUGCGAAAUUCGCGAAUCGCUGGAGGCUCACAGCACCUCUCGUCUCGCGCGAUUGAUCUUGUAGGCAGCGGCCUCAUUAGGCGCGUCUCACUCGCACUGCAUGAACUUCCCUGCCGGGUGUCUAUCGUUGCUCCCCUGUGCCCCUUCAGAGCGACGAGCUGCCAGCUCUUGGUGCGCCGGCACAUGCUUUUCCACGGGCGCCCUCCGCUCGACACACCGACCCCUGCCAGAGGCGUGCGGGCUCAGGGAAAGGCGGAGUGCCUCAUGCUGCUACAGACACAUAGCCACGUCCCGCCUGUCGCGGCACAUGUGGGCAAGCCGUCCAGAGACCCCCUCUCCCCACGACAGCGGCGUCGCCCUGGAGCAGGCCUGAAUACCGGAAAGCUGCGAGCGCUGCAUGCAGGCGCUGCCAACCGCAGCGGGCAUGGCGUAUCGCAUCCAGAGAAGGCAUUCAGAGGUGAGACGAGCACGACUGAUAGACGAAAAAGGCGCGAAGAGAUCCGCACGAACCAGCCCCACAGCGCAUGUGGGCGAAAUGCGCGGCAUCUCCUACGUCCGACGGGGUGAGCUGGUGCGGCGCAGGCGCCGGAAACGUGUCGAGAGCACCCCCCCCCGGGACUACACCAUGGCGUCAUCGGGGCUGCAAUGUGAUGGGCCGCCUCACGGCACUACGGGAUGCCGCGGCGUGAGGCGACUGGGAGGGUGAAACAUGGGACACGCUGGCAGAGUGCGGGGUCUUUGAGGGCCCUGACCCGCGGCUGGCGGACUUCCUCCCUGAGCUCAUCCGGCAUGCGCCCCGACCACCCCCUGUUGACCGCACGACGGACGCCACCGCCUCCGCCCUGGAGCAGGACGCUGAGUGCGGCUCGCCCGGAUCAGGGCAUGCAGUCCCGCCAGGGUGCUUAUGGAGCCAAUCGCGCAGCACGCUUGUCGAGAAGGGGCGAGGAAGGGCGAGAGGUGCGCGUUAGGCGCGCGGCCCCGAUUCGAUGACAGGACGGUGUGUCCUAGACGUCGAGGAUGUAGCCGUGCUGCCGCUGGUGCGGGUGAGCGGCGGCUGCGCAUGCGUAUGUUCUCGGACCUGCUGCGGGUGUGGAAUGGGCGCGUUGCGGGGAGAGAAAAGUUGGAGUGUUGCCGAGCUGCGUCGUUUUCCUUUGAUUCUGUUUAAUAUCUAAAGUGACACUCUUAGCUAAGCGAGGCCAAGUCCCAAUGCGUUCGUUUGGGUGCGUGCUUGUGUUUGAGGCUGGAGGCGUGGCUAGAGCAGGCGUUUUUUGGAUAGGCCUGUGUGGCGGUUGUCAGGCCACCUGCUCUUCGCGAGGCGCAAUCCCUCCUGCCCCCUCCGCCUGUUCGGACUCAUGUAACGGCUGCUCGCAGAAUCCUCCAUUCAUCUUCACCUAUCAUAUAAACAAACACAAGCGAUACUGCUUUCCCCUCCAAAGGUUGUUGGGCACUCGCGGCACGGCCACGCCGCUGUUCUCCCGCCUUUUGCACGCGUCAGGGCAGCUGUAUUGGUGCGCUGCUGUGCGCUCGCAGUCGUGGGGCUCUGCAGCUCGUUUUCUCGUUGUGCAAGCCGACGCCACACAGGCGAUUCUCUACACACCCUAACCACACCAGUCAUCGGUCCUAAUCAGCUCGCCUGCUAUCCCUCUUCGCCGCCUCUUCACGGAGCACGAGUCUUGUGGAUUGCUGCGUCUUCCACCCUCCUCAUUAUUUGCUCUGUGCGGUCUUGAUUUCGCACGUGCGCAG
This 2407-nucleotide unclassified non-coding RNA is filed under the name Leishmania donovani. Its description in RNAcentral is "gene:LdHU3.33.0680(CDS-product:Archaic_translocas e_of_outer_membrane_11_kDa_subunit_putative)". Lineage: Eukaryota; Euglenozoa; Kinetoplastea; Trypanosomatida; Trypanosomatidae. The record is from RNAcentral.